CACUAAAAUGUUUAAGGUAAAAAAAGUAGUCUAUCUGUUACAUUAACUACUUUAGUACAUGUCAGUAGCUGUAUUCUGCAGCCCCUUCACCAUUACACCAAAUGAGCAAUAGUACUAUUUUGCAUGAGGGUAAAUUAUGUAAACUCUGUCCCUGACUAUAAAUCAAUAAAGCUGGAUGAUUAGAGAGCAGCACCCACCAGUACAGUUUCAGCUGUAACCAUGCUGCUUGUUUAUCUCCUAGUGUUGGACAUAUCUACGUCCUUUGUUUUUAGCGCAAUUGAUUUUACUCAGCCAGGUCAUGUGAUUGUCCGGCCUGGACAGACUUUGACCACUGGCUGUAAAGUGUCUGGUUACAGCUUGACUGAUAGCAGUUAUUGUACAAACUGGAUUCGACAUGCUACUGGGAAAAAUAUGCAGUGGAUUGGAUACAUUUGUAGUGAUGGAAGCACAGGGGGCACAGAGUCACUGAAAAACAGGUUCAGCAUCACUCAGGACACCUCCAGUAACACAGUGACCCUCCAUGGUCAAAAUGUGCAGAUGGAAGACACAGCUGUGUAUUAUUGUGUGCGCUACCAUAACACAGUGAUAUGGAUCACUGAAGUGCCUGUACAAAAACCUCCUCAGAUCAGCCUCAUGCCUUUUGUCAUCGUCACAAUGUUCAUCAUCCGAUCUCUACAUUUAUCUCAUCCUUUACUGUCUCAGUCAUAUCAAUAUACUGGAAUUGCAGAGUGUAGAGUGGCUUUUACAAACACUUUUUAUCAGUCUCCUUAUUUUAAAGAAGUGAGAUUUCAGGAAAUUCUGUAGUGAGAGUAGAGAGCAGGUGGAGGAAUACCUGGAAAGUUAGAUUUCUGCUCUGGAAAGAAGAGGAAUGAAAGUCAG
This is a non-coding RNA of Tachysurus vachellii, 879 nucleotides long. The record is from the annotation of a RefSeq genome assembly. Lineage: Eukaryota; Metazoa; Chordata; Actinopteri; Siluriformes; Bagridae.